Plectropomus leopardus (leopard coralgrouper) is the source of this 795-nucleotide non-coding RNA. NCBI's taxonomy places the organism in Eukaryota, Metazoa, Chordata, Actinopteri, Perciformes, Serranidae. The record is from RefSeq and is a predicted model, not a curated record.
UUACCUGGAUAAGAGACUCGAAGGGUUAAAUGACAAUCAGCAUAUCUUCUUCUUCUCUGUCAGUGUUUCCUGUGCAGACCCGAUGGCGGUCUCCGUGUCGGACCGUUUUUGGUGACCUUCUUGAGGACACGGCGCCUGUGAUCCUCCUCCCACCGGAGCCUCUCCUCGCUCUGCAAUCAGCUCCACAUUUACAUUCAGAUGACUGCGGCGAGGCUGCCGGGGCGCCGGAAUGUAAAUUUACCCAGAGAUCAGCUGGGGACUGGCGUAGAUUGAAGAGGGAGGCGGAGGCUGAUCGCGUCCUCACACCCGUCCUCGCACGACAUCUACCAUCCGGCCCCGAGCCUUAAUCACCAGGAUUUCAUCAGAGAGGAGUCCACGGGGGGGAAAUCACCUCUGUGGUAGAGCUUCUCUGUGAACAGAGCUCGGUGUUGAGCAGGCGUUCGUGUCUGCAGCUGGCCGGAUGCCUCUCACUUCAGCUCCCUCUGAGCCCACAACUGCUCUUCGCAUCAGCUGACUCAAGAUGUCCAGUUAUUGACUCGUUUGUUAUGCGUUUGCUGCCGCCGUCCUCACAGCGACCUGCUCGUAAAAAUCAGUCGGCGGCAAAAUAAAACGGCGGUCAUCUCAGGUCGCCAGCUCGUCAUCGGCAAAAAAGAAAAAUCCUGAUUGAGAUUCAGAGGAGAGCGGCUCGCCUCACCCCGACGUGACUCCGCUCUGCAGGCACUGACCCGCUGCAGAGGAAAAUCAGACGCUUCAGACGGCAGAUUAUUCUUCGUUUCCUUCCUCCACCAGCUUUCA